GUUCCCUGUGAUGCCCUUUUUCAAUACCAUGCUAAUGCUGAUAUCAGAUGAUUAAGACAUUCAGUUUAUUUUACUGAGGGAGCC
This is a small nucleolar RNA of Arachis stenosperma, 84 nucleotides long. RefSeq annotates it as small nucleolar RNA snoR53Y. The transcript has a single exon. The record is from RefSeq and is a predicted model, not a curated record. NCBI's taxonomy places the organism in Eukaryota, Viridiplantae, Streptophyta, Magnoliopsida, Fabales, Fabaceae.